GAUGAACGCUGGCGGCGUGCCUAAUACAUGCAAGUCGAGCGAACGGACGAGAAGCUUGCUUCUCUGAUGUUAGCGGCGGACGGGUGAGUAACACGUGGAUCACCUACCUAUAAGACUGGGAUAACUUCGGGAAACCGGUGCUAAUACCGGAUAAUAUUUUGAACCGCAUGGUUCAAAAGUGAAAGACGGUCUUGCUGUCACUUAUAGAUGGAUCCGCGCUGCAUUAGCUAGUUGGUAAGGUAACGGCUUACCAAGGCAACGAUGCAUAGCCGACCUGAGAGGAUGAUCGGCCACACUGGAACUGAGACACGGUCCAGACUCCUACGGGAGGCAGCAGUAGGGAAUAUUCCGCAAUGGGCGAAAGCCUGACGGAGCCACGCCGCGUGAGUGAUGAAGGUCUUCGGAUCGUAAAACUCUGUUAUUAGGGAAGAACAGAUGUGUAAGUAACUGUGCACAUCUUGACGGUACCUAAUGAGAAAGCAACGGCUAACUUCGUG
RNAcentral lists this ribosomal RNA (497 nucleotides) under uncultured bacterium. RNAcentral's name for it is "partial 16S ribosomal RNA". It matches the Rfam family "Bacterial small subunit ribosomal RNA", at positions 28 to 507 of the family's 1533-position model. The record is from RNAcentral.